RNAcentral lists this ribosomal RNA (278 nucleotides) under uncultured bacterium. RNAcentral's name for it is "partial 16S ribosomal RNA". The record is from RNAcentral.
CUGCUGCCUCCCGUAGGAGUCUGGUCCGUGUCUCAGUACCAGUGUGGGGGACCUUCCUCUCAGAACCCCUACGCAUCGUCGGUUAGGUGGGCCGUUACCCCGCCUACUGCCUAAUGCGCCGCAUGCCCAUCCCUGUCCGGCCGAAGCCUUUCCUGCCUCCGGGAUGCCCCGGUGGCAUGUACGCGGGUUUAGCCCGCCUUUCGGCGGGUUGUCCCCCUGACAGGGGCAGGUUGCAUACGUGUUACUCACCCGUCGCGCCGGUCGGCCGGCGGAGAAAG